UACGGAGGGGGCUAGCGUUGUUCGGAAUUACUGGGCGUAAAGCGUGCGCAGGCGGUUUUGUAAGUCAGAUGUGAAAUCCCCGGGCUUAACCUGGGAACUGCGUUUGAAACUACAAGGCUAGAGUGUGGCAGAGGGGGGUGGAAUUCCACGUGUAGCAGUGAAAUGCGUAGAGAUGUGGAGGAACACCGAUGGCGAAGGCAGCCCCCUGGGUUAACACUGACGCUCAGGCACGAAAGCGUGGGGAGCAAACAGG
This 253-nucleotide ribosomal RNA is filed under the name uncultured bacterium. RNAcentral's name for it is "partial 16S ribosomal RNA". It matches the Rfam family "Bacterial small subunit ribosomal RNA", at positions 524 to 776 of the family's 1533-position model. The record is from RNAcentral.